AGUGAACGCUGGCGGCAGGCCUAACACAUGCAAGUCGAGCGGCAGCGCGGGGCAACCUGGCGGCGAGCGGCGGACGGGUGAGGAAUACGUCGGAAUCUGCCUUUUUGUGGGGGAUAACGUAGGGAAACUUACGCUAAUACCGCAUACGACCUACGGGUGAAAGUGGGGGACCGCAAGGCCUCACGCAGAAAGAUGAGCCGACGUCCGAUUAGCUAGUUGGUGAGGUAAUGGCUCACCAAGGCGACGAUCGGUAGCUGGUCUGAGAGGAUGAUCAGCCACACUGGGACUGAGAAACGGCUCAGACUCCUACGGGAGGCAGCAGUGGGGAAUAUUGGACAAUGGGCGCAAGCCUGAUUCAGCCAUGCCGCGUGUGUGAAGAAGGCCUUCGGGUUGUAAAGCACUUUUGUCCGGAAAGAAAUCCUGAAGAUUAAUACUCUUUGGGGAUGACGGUACCGGAAGAAUAAGCACCGGCUAACUUCGUGCCAGCCGCCGCAGUAA
RNAcentral lists this ribosomal RNA (498 nucleotides) under uncultured bacterium. Its description in RNAcentral is "partial 16S ribosomal RNA". It matches the Rfam family "Bacterial small subunit ribosomal RNA", at positions 29 to 523 of the family's 1533-position model. The record is from RNAcentral.